Molecule: unclassified non-coding RNA, 400 nt
Filed under: soil metagenome
Description: partial contains 5.8S ribosomal RNA, internal transcribed spacer 2, and large subunit ribosomal RNA
Rfam family: 5.8S ribosomal RNA (bases 1-122)
Source: RNAcentral
GAUGAAGAACGCAGCGAAAUGCGAUACUUGGUGUGAAUUGCAGAAUCCCGUGAACCAUCGAGUCUUUGAACGCAAGUUGCGCCUCAAGCCAUUAGGUUGAGGGCACGUCUGCCUGGGCGUCACAUAUCGUUGCCUGAUGCCAGUUUCCUCGUGAUGGGUGACUGUGCAGGGCGAAUGAUGGCUUCCCGUGAGCAUUGUUGCCUCAUGGUUGGUUGAAAAUUGAGUCCUUGGUAGGGAGCGCCGUGAUAGAUGGUGGUUGAGUGACGAACGAGACCCAAUCAUGUGAGACCCCUACCGAAUUUGGCCUUCAUGCCCCACAUGCGUCUUUGGAACGCUCAUGACGAGACCUCAGGUCAGGCGGGGCUACCCGCUGAGUUUAAGCAUAUCAAUAAGCGGAGGA